Molecule: ribosomal RNA, 497 nt
Filed under: uncultured bacterium
Lineage: Bacteria
Description: partial 16S ribosomal RNA
Rfam family: Bacterial small subunit ribosomal RNA
Source: RNAcentral
GAUGAACGCUGGCGGCGUGCCUAAUACAUGCAAGUCGAGCGAACAGACGAGGAGCUUGCUCCUCUGACGUUAGCGGCGGACGGGUGAGUAACACGUGGAUAACCUACCUAUAAGACUGGGAUAACUUCGGGAAACCGGAGCUAAUACCGGAUAAUAUAUUGAACCGCAUGGUUCAAUAGUGAAAGACGGUUUUGCUGUCACUUAUAGAUGGAUCCGCGCCGCAUUAGCUAGUUGGUAAGGUAACGGCUUACCAAGGCAACGAUGCGUAGCCGACCUGAGAGGGUGAUCGGCCACACUGGAACUGAGACACGGUCAAGACUCCUACGGGAGGCAGCAGUAGGGAAUCUUCCGCAAUGGGCGAAAGCCUGACGGAGCAAAGCCGCGUGAGUGAUGAAGGUCUUCGGAUCGUAAAACUCUGUUAUUAGGGAAGAACAAAUGUGUAAGUAACUAUGCACGUCUUGACGGUACCUAAUCAGAAAGCCACGGCUAACUACGUG